Long non-coding RNA from Oncorhynchus keta (chum salmon), 150 nucleotides. RefSeq lists it as uncharacterized. The record is from RefSeq and is a predicted model, not a curated record. Lineage: Eukaryota; Metazoa; Chordata; Actinopteri; Salmoniformes; Salmonidae. The transcript has 4 exons.
GGGUUAGGUAGGGUUCACAUUGUGUUAGAUAGGGUUAGGUAGGGUUAGAUAGGGUUAGGUAGGGUUCACAUUGUGUUAGGUAGGGUUAGGUAGGGUUAGGUAGGGUUCACAGUGUGUUAGGUAGGGUUAGGUAGGGUUCACAUUGUGUUA